UACGUAGGGUGCGAGCGUUGUCCGGAAUUAUUGGGCGUAAAGAGCUUGUAGGCGGUUUGUCGCGUCUGCUGUGAAAAUCCGGGGCUCAACCCCGGACUUGCAGUGGGUACGGGCAGACUAGAGUGUGGUAGGGGAGACUGGAAUUCCUGGUGUAGCGGUGAAAUGCGCAGAUAUCAGGAAGAACACCCGUGGCGAAGGCGGCUCUCUGGUACGUGACUGACGCUGAGACGCGAAAGCGUGGGGAGCGAACAGG
Molecule: ribosomal RNA, 253 nt
Filed under: uncultured bacterium
Lineage: Bacteria
Description: partial 16S ribosomal RNA
Rfam family: Bacterial small subunit ribosomal RNA
Source: RNAcentral